RNAcentral lists this ribosomal RNA (345 nucleotides) under uncultured bacterium. RNAcentral's name for it is "bacterial SSU rRNA". It matches the Rfam family "Bacterial small subunit ribosomal RNA", at positions 8 to 350 of the family's 1533-position model. The record is from RNAcentral.
AGAGUUUGAUCCUGGCUCAGGACGAACGCUGGCGGCGCGCCUAACACAUGCAAGUCGAGCGAUGAAGGCCUUCUUCGGAAGGCGCAUGAAGCGGCGAACGGGCGAGUAACGCGUGGGCAACCUGCCCCCCUCACGGGAAUAGCCGCGGGAAACCGCGGGUAAUGCCGGACGCCCCGGCGGGAGCGCAUGCCCCCGCCGGGAAAGCGCAUGCGGAGGGGGAUGGGCCCGCGUCCCAUCAGCCAGACGGCGGGGUGACGGCCCACCGUGGCGACAACGGGUAGCCGGGCUGAGAGGCCGGACGGCCGCAUUGGGACUGAGACACGGCCCAGAAUCCUACGGGAGGCA